This 450-nucleotide ribosomal RNA is filed under the name uncultured bacterium. RNAcentral describes it as "partial 16S ribosomal RNA". It matches the Rfam family "Bacterial small subunit ribosomal RNA", at positions 354 to 796 of the family's 1533-position model. The record is from RNAcentral.
GUGGGGAAUAUUGGACAAUGGGCGAAAGCCUGAUCCAGCCAUGCCGCGUGUGUGAAGAAGGUCUUCGGAUUGUAAAGCACUUUAAGUUGGGAGGAAGGGCAGUAAGUUAAUACCUUGCUGUUUUGACGUUACCGACAGAAUAAGCACCGGCUAACUUCGUGCCAGCAGCCGCGGUAAUACGAAGGGUGCAAGCGUUAAUCGGAAUUACUGGGCGUAAAGCGCGCGUAGGUGGUUUUGUAAGUUGGAGAUGAAAUCCCCGGGCUCAACCUGGGAACUGCCUCCAAAACUACUGAGCUAGAGUACGGUAGAGGGUAGUGGAAUUUCCUGUGUAGCGGUGAAAUGCGUAGAUAUAGGAAGGAACACCAGUGGCGAAGGCGACUACCUGGACUGAUACUGACACUGAGGUGCGAAAGCGUGGGGAGCAAACAGGAUUAGAAACCCCUGUAGUCC